Long non-coding RNA from Gopherus evgoodei (Goodes thornscrub tortoise), 359 nucleotides. RefSeq lists it as uncharacterized. Lineage: Eukaryota; Metazoa; Chordata; Testudines; Testudinidae. The transcript has 2 exons. The record is from RefSeq and is a predicted model, not a curated record.
GGAGCCCUCUGCCUCCUUCCCCUUCCCCCCCAGCCCAAAGAGGCGUGCUGCCAGCUGCUUCAGACAGCGACACGGGGCUCGCAACAUCACAGGGGGCAAUCUCACAGAUAUGCAGUCUUCACUGUCCCAUGGGAGGAAGAGAAGCAGACAUCGCAAUGGAGGGAAGUCGGGGGCUGACGAAGAGAACUUCCAGGAAAACAAGUCCCUUGGAAAGUCAGGAAUGGACUAUCUCAUGUUAAGCCAGAGGGCCACCAUACUGUCAAGGGAUGACUAGCUGUUGCAGCAACAUGGAUGUGUUAGUCUGACAAAGCAAGUUGAUGAACGUGGCCAAUUAUAAGGGAGGUGCUGUGGUUGAUCGA